AAGGGAUUGACACGAUUAAAUACACAGGUGGAAACAAUCAGGGAGGAGCUUGCAAUCACACAGGAAGAGGGAGGAGCCUGAACGAGAGACCAGGUGAGUGACGGAACGCAGAGACAAGCAGACAGUGAGCGUGUCCGUGGCGUAGGACAGGAGAUGACAUGGAUGGAGUAUUUAAACAAUGGAAUCAAAUGUGUAAUGGUCCAUCAAUGUGCCUGUACUCACAUCCACACGUAGAGUUUAUAUCUUUCUCUGCCGCUCGUUAAAAUCAAUUAUUUCUGAACUACUGAUCAAUCUCAGCCCGUCUCCCGAACCAGAUGGACUAUUUUUUGCCCACCCGUUCUAGAAUUUGUUGAGUGUAUGAGUGUCACAGCCAAUGUAUGCAGAAGCAGUUUUCUACCUCUCCCCUCAACCCGCUUCAUUAUUUCGCUCUUUUUUUUCUUGCUCUGUUGCUCGAGCAUCUCCCAUCUGUAUCGCUAUUUUAUCCUAAUUUAUCUUGCUGAGGAAAUUAUUUGACUAGCACUGAUUUCCUGCAUUUUUAGUGUAACAACAACCAUAACUUGACUUGAAUCAUUCCGUAAACCAGCCCCCCUCCCUAACAAAGACUUCACCUUUUAAUAAUUUAUGUACGGGGGUCAUUCAUUCUGUUAGUCUCAGCAAUGUAACUGUGCAAACAGAUUUACACAAGUUACACAAGGCUGCACAUACUGACCCAUCACUGCAUAACUGGUCUGUCCCCCGUCCCCCCGUUGCCACUGGGAGGCAGUAAAACCCCACACGUUCACCCACGAUGACAACACCCAGAAUGAAUUGGUUCACCCUUUGACCCCCCUCCCCUCCCUUUCACAUACACCACACACACAGACAAUAACACAAUUACAGUUUCAACAUUUUCAUCUCUGUUACUGUCUGCAGUAAAGUUUCUUCCUACAGCGUGAUUUAACCAUUUUGAGUCCCAAACAAUGAAGUCAUUCCACUAUUGCUUGAGCCUUGUCAGGUCGCUCCCGGGGUCUCUGUGGGUCAGUGGUGGCUAGUUAUUAAAGACAUUAAGGACAGAAGGAAAACCUACCUGAUUGUAUACUAUUCGAGUUGGCUAUUAAUCAUCUCUUUCUAAAAUAAUUGCCAUUGUCCUUAACUCUAAGAUUGGCAAAACCUUAUUCAGGGUUAGUUAUUUUGAGCAAGCAUCCAAACCUCAUUCAGAAUAUCUUUUAAAUAGGGAAUAUAUGGGUGCAUUACUAUUGGGGAAUAGUGGGGAAUUCUCUUUCUUCUGAGGAGUCAGUUAAAUCAGUCGGGAGUCGAGAUAUAUACUUUCCUUAUAAGCAGUAAGACAAAGAUUUACAAGAUUUCUUAAAUGUCACUGCACUCUGGAUGAGAAGGAGUCUGCUGUCUUUAAUGUGUCGAUAAAAGCCUGUUGUUGAGAGCGGUCACAACACACCCAGUAAAUGAAUGGUGGGAACAUCCUCUAUGCUUUGCAGAUCCUGCUGCAAUUCCUGGUCAAAGUCAAUUCACAGCAACUAAAUACUUGUAUUGGUUAACAUAAGCAUCGAGCUACUCCCUGAUGAAAAAAGGAAACAUUACAUUGAAGAUCAAUUAUGUAGAAUCAAUCACUGUGGUGGGAAAACACACAAAGGCUGUAAGUGAAGUGACAAUAAACAAGAGGAGAGGUAAGUAACAAACACAAAAUAUAGAUAACUGAUUUGACUGAUUUAUUGUGAUAAAAUAAGUUUUGUAUGAUAUUGUAAGAAACAUAUAAAACAGGGCUAUAAUAACUAUACCAUGCCAAGUGCAUAUUUGCUGUGUUAACUGUCAAGAUGAUGUGGUUUUACUGCCAAUGAAGGGAAAUGUGUUCAUUUUGAAUUAUUUUAGACUAAUUCAGACAACUUUACAGAAGUAUUCCAUCUUCUCCCACUACUUUUCUAUCCAACAAAAUCCCGGAUAUAAAUAGAGGAACGUAGUUUUUUGCAUGUUAUGUGUGUGUGUGUGUGUGUGUGAGGGAUGUGAGCUGCCAUCGUUUCGGUCACGGCGCGGAUCUCAUUUCAGGAGGUUGAAUUAAAGCCAGCUGAGACCUAAUCCCAGCGUAAUUCCCCCUCUUCUGCCCGCCCCAUUUUAUGAAGGAGGAGGGUAGUGAGAAAAUAUCAGAAUAACGAUGUCGUUUGAGCAAUAAAAAGGUGACUAAAUCCAAGGGGUGAGGAGGUGUUUGGGGUAAGAGGCAGAAUGGGAGAGAGACGAGAGGCAGAAAAGAAGAGCAACAUCUGAUUUAGACGUUGUAAUACGACUAGAUGUCUCAAAUCAAAUGAAGAAGAAGAAGUAUCCUUUAUCGACAGUUUAUGCGACAGUGACGCAUGGAGAGGAGAGGGUGCGCCGGGAACCAUCGAACAUUCUGGAGAUCUAAGGGAGCACACCACACUGCUCCUCUCCCAACCUGUCUUUCCUCCGGCGUCUUUCCUCCUUGCCUUUUUGCACCCACCCCUCCAUGAGGAGAUGAGGUGCAGUGUGUCUCCUGGCACGACUGAUCUCAUCUCCCCUGAUGGAGUAAGUGGAAGGGUUAUGGCUGGAUCGUGCACUCCCUCCACUGUUCUGCCCUUCAGCCCCUAACAGUAGAAUAUUGCUACUGUUAUUGUCACCAGGUUAAAUAAGCCUGUGUUGAUAGUGGUUCAGUCAAACAAUCAUGUAUUGUGCUUGCACGAUGAAAUGAAUAGGAAAGCGUCUGUGGCGAUUGGAUUCCUUUGCUGGUGAUCUUUUAUUAGAUCAAGAGUAACCCCCCUGCAGGCUUGACAUGUUUUUUGCUGGUCUUCAGACCACUCAGUGCUUUAACACUGUAAGCGGUUACCAUGGUGCCACAUUCACACCCUGAGCACAGCUACAGGAGCAAUUUGGGGUUAAGAGUCUGACCCUGGGAAACAUCGGCGUGGGCUAAUGGAGCACGGAAUCAAACCGCCUGAAAUCACUGCUCCUAAAAGUAUAAAGGUUUAUUUAUAAAGAAACAAACAAAUCCUGUGUCUGACACAAGUUAUUUUAAUGCAUUGUCACAAAGUUUGGUGGAAUUUCAGGGCAAGUUAUCCGUUCGAGGAUCCAAAAGACCUUCUCUGUUCCGAUCUCUAUUCCCGUCUAUUGUUGGUUCAGCAAAGUUAGGAAAGUCAGCGAGGGUUUUCUUUGAAAGCAACAUUGUUCGUUUCUGCACCUCCUUUCAGCCACUUAGUCACAUGGAAGGCACAGCGUCCAGCCGAGCACCGGUGUUUACAACUUUGAUAUCAUGGGCGAAUCACAGGGAACACCUGCGGUGCACGUGACCAUAAUGCACAACUCCAAAGAGGCCUCAACCAUUGUAUAUAUCAUCCCAACGACCAUUAAGUACUGGCAGAAAUACAGUGUUCUAUUUUUUAAGGCUUUACUAUAAAAGAGCUGUUGCUAUUGGCUUAAUCCCCACACCUACGUGCAGCCGUUGAGUUUUUUUUUUUAUCUGACCCUGCUUUGGACACUCAACACUGGUUUGACAGGCAGUAGAAGAGGUGAGAGGACAUAACCCACUUCUGCAAUCUUUGGGAUUUACACAAUUGCUAUAGGUGUUUUCUGAAGGUUAAUGAUGUUGUACUCCUCCUAUAAUUUCAGCUUUCAGGGAUGAGAGCCAAUCAGAUGCGACUCUAAAGCCAUUUUCCCCCAAUCCUCAUCACAUUAUGUUGCAGCAUAAGCCCUGUUGAAAGCAGUAAUCAGCUUAGCUGAGCACAUUGUAAAUGUGCAAAAAGUAUUUGAUUAAAUGACCGUUAAAUGACAGUUAGCAGAGGGAGAAUGAAUGCAUGACAGUAAUACUAUUUUACUUUUUUAUUCCUGUAACAGUAAAAGACAUGUGUGUUAUAAAGACCAUAGAAAUAUGAAAUAUUCAAACAAAGGUUUGAAGGUCUCGAGCUUUUUGUGCACACACAAUCAAAAUGUUGGGUCUGGUUGUGUGUGGUCACGAUUUUUCUUUGUUGCACGUAUAAAAGGAUCUCAACAGCAACAUCCCAGAGUACACUCACAGGGGCUCUGUGGGUGGGAUUAAGAACAUGGCUGUCACUUCUCUGCCAGAGUCACAAGCGAGGAUGAGCUCUGCUACACUGUUUGUUUCUGCUCAGGAGCCUUUCAUACUUUUGGAGACUUGGUACUUGAUUGAUUGAUCUGUACAGCAUUUGGUUAAUCAAUACUGACUAUAUUUAUUAAUUACAGUCCUAAUCUAUUCCUUUCUUUAAUCUAUGUCAAAUGUCUAUUACUGUAAUGUGAGAGAUGUUUUAUCCCCCAGCAGUCAUAAUCACCCAAAUAUAUUACAAAUCACUUAUGUAAUGGAUUUUUGUGUAAAUAUGCUUUCAUUUGUACACAUUAGUUAUUAUUUUAUUUUAUCUGUGUAAAAUAAAAUACUAGCUUAACAAUAAUGACAAUUUUCAGUGAAUUUAUCAUAUAUCCAAUUAUUUAUUCUGUAAUUCAAAAUCUAUUUAAGACAAGCAGUUUGGCGUAAACAUUCCUUUAACUCCAGAAUUACUUUAUAUGCAAAAGGGAAAUUCCAGACAAACUUGAUAUCUAUGCCUUCUCUUCAAGUAAAUGUGUUCUGCAUGUGUUUAAUGAAGCUCCCCAGUGAACAAAAAGGCAUUGCUUGUGCUUAAAAUAGUGCAACAUAUUUAAAUAAAUGUCAGUGGGUUUAGUUGGUCUGAGUUUAUUUUGGUGUGGCACAAGUCCUUUCACCAAUUUUUUAAAUAAUAAAUAUGAAAGCAGAAGAGGGUUUAAGGAAGAGACAUCAACAGCUAUGUGGGGACACACACACGCACACACACACACACACACACAUAUACACACACACACACACACACACACACACACACACACACACACACAGUGCCCCCUCCCCUACAGCUCAAAUGUCAACAAGAAAAUUGGAAAUGAGUAAUUCUUUGUAUGUGUGAAAUAGAUUGCUUCUCAUAUAAGUACAUCCCUGAAUAUAACAAAUUGAUUCUUGUGGCAAGCAGUAAAUCCACCAGACAACUUUUAUUGUAUAUCUGAAAUAUGAAUAUGUUUAUUUCGUUUUUUUGCCAAACACGACUCUUCAUUGUAAUUGAAGUCCCCUUGGCUGGCGGCAAGAUUUCUUUUUCCAACCCUCUAAUUUGUUCUUUUGGCAGCCUGGAUUUUCAUUCCGUCAAUAAAUCUGAGUCAGAGAAAGUGAGUGUUUGAGAGAAAUAAGGGAGUGAUUAUUCAAUUUUAACUUGCUGGAGCCAUCUGAGAUGUUUCCUCCAAUUACAGUAUUCAAAAUGUACCCUGCUGUCAGUCCCAGUGUGCACGUGGGUGCAUAAUACGUCUGUAAAACCCUCUGAAAUAUUCUGCGUCUGGUCGACCAAAUUUUCAUCCUCUCAUUUUUUGGUGGGUUGCAACCCCCUCCACCCCACCUGUAUACAGCAAUUAUUUUGCCUAUUCUUCCUCUGUCGGCUUUCUUUCUGCAUCAUGUUUCUCACAGUUUGACUUCACGCCUCUCUUUCUCUCUUCCCACGUCUCUGAUGGAGUUUUAUCAAGUUGGAGGUUUGCUGCUCGGCAGAUGGCCCAAGUUGGUUGGUAAAAAUAACCAAUUGCAGGUUCUCUGGCUUCUGCUGUUACCUAAUAUAUGAUUUCUUAAUUAGUACUAUUAGGAGCUAGUUUUAGCUUGUUAUAUGAAUACAAAUGCAUUAUCUGAUCAAUAAUUGGUGUUAAACCAGAUUCAAAUGAAAAAUAUGUCAACUAUCAAUUAAAGAUAUAUUUUGUGCAUAACAACAAGAGCCAUAUUUAGUCAAUAUAUGUAAUCUUGAGAAACAGCAUAUUAAGUAAAUAGGCUUCAACACUUAUGUCAAAAUGUCUGUAUACUCAAUUUCCUUAAUAUAAUUGUGCAUUGGAAAUAAUGACUGAAAGUUAUUUUUGAAGGAAACCCCAGGUACAGUUAUAUAUAUUAAUAUAUAUGGUGAUAUAGUUAACCUAGUUCCUUCAAUGUAAACUAUAAAAAUAAACAUUGACACAUUCAUACUCUUCACUCUUUGACACCCUCCUCCUUCCAUUGUAUGUUCUGCUAGGGCUCCAGGUAGUGACAGGGUCGUAUUUGGAGCUUAAACAUUAUCUUUCUGCUCAUUAACCUUGGACAGGGUCUCCAUUCCACCCGAUUGAUUCUCCCUCCUCCGCCACCUCCGUCUUCACCUCCAUCUCUUUCCCCUGUCGCUCUUUUCCUCCCUAUUUGUUGAGGCACUCACCCGGAUAAGACGAGAGCCUUUUAAAAUGUCUGCUGAUGCUUCAUGGUGCCUCUCCUCUGCAUCAGGGAUCGACUUAUCUGGACAAUUUGUCUCACGCCUUACUGAAACACUAAUGACAUCAUCCGCUGUAAAGUUCUUGAGAAAAAGGUUUUCUCUGGCCCUUUGCUGCCCCAGGCCAAGGUGCUGCAAUGCACAAUAUUCAUUAAUAUAAUAAUAUAAUAGAGACUUUAUUAAAAAAAAUGAACAGAAGUCUCAAGUCAAUGGAAUAAUACUGCAUGUUUAAUGUUCUUUUUCAAGCUUUUCAAAUUUGUUAAUUUUCACGACAAGUCAUUUAAUCAACCAUAUUUCAGUUUAAACUCUGCAUCACAACGUCAGAUAAUGUACUCCGUGACUGCUGAACUGAACUUGACCCAUCUGCGCAGGUGCUGUCAGUUGCUUUUUACUCUCAAACUGAGUGGCAAAGGUGCGCUGGCCUCUGCGAUCAAGUGUGUUUUGUAGUGUGAGAUCUAUUUCCUAGAAGAAGUGCAUCAGAAACCAGUUUGGCCUCUGUAGAUAGGAUGUCUCAUGAAUGAAGUUCACCUGUAACUCUACUUUCCUAAACACAGCAAAGGCAUUGUACAACCCCUACAUCCACAGAUGGAGAACAUCAUCUUCUCUUACAGCCACCUAUUUAAUUCACAUUCACAUUCACUGGUACAUACUCCGAACCCAUAACCGUGGCUGUUUGUAAAGUGAUUACAGCCCAAAGUCCAUUUUGUUACGGCUCGGCCAGCCAGAGAGUUAUGCGCCUUGCGGCGGGGACGAGCCGGGCGUGCACCGGAUCACACCUGAAGCCACUCUGGUCAUUGCGCAGCUGCAGCUCGUUGGCUCGUUCUGUGGAGAGUUAAGUUGGAGGACUCCCAAUGGCUCGUCGUGAGUUCGUGCCCUGUUUCCGGAGAGAUCGGUCGUCGUUUGGAGGCUGCCCUGUGGAUUAUUGAGACUGAGUUUUCCUUUUUUUUGUUGAACUUAGAGUGCCCAUGGACUAAGGGAUUUUGAGUUGUUUUCUUUUGUUUUCCCCUGCCAAUUAAGGAGGCAGUUUUUGUUUGUUCCUUGGAACCUUACGCUCUUGAGUUCUUGUGAAAGAAUAAACUACGCCGUGUUUUUGGCUGAACAUAAACUCUGUCUGGUGUCGUGCACUUGGGGUCGAAGACAAACUAUAACACAUAUAACAGCUUUUAUUACCAUACAAGCAAAUACUUUUCUAUUCCAACUCAAAACCUCCAUUACUUUACAGAAAGUGAAAAAUGAAUAGUAGGCUGUUCAUAUACGUAUAUUUAAAAAAAUAGCAGGCUUUUGUCUAUACAAACUAAAAACGGUUAAUAUUUAGAUUUCCUGGGAAUUGCCAUACUUUAGCCCUAUAAUCACUGUUUCACAUCCAUGCUGGAUGGAAUUGACCAACUUCUGGCACCUGUGAACAGAUGUACCAUCCCAGGAAUAUUGGACUACAUUCCACAAUGUUGUCCGGGCAUUGGGCUAGCCACUCCUGCUUGCAUGCUUGUGGGAGUUGGGAUCCUUGUCUUCUUGAAACACCCAUUUCAAUGGCAUUUCCUCUUCAGCAUAUACAAAUGACAUUCAAAGUGAUCCAUGAUCCCUGUGUGCCAUAAACAGACCCAACACCAUAGUGCGAGAAACAUCCCCGUAUCACGUGUAGUUUUAAUUUGUUAUUGAAACCCAAAAGUCUUUUUUUUGCACGUUUCUCAACAAAUAAGCUGAUAAAUUAAUUUUGUGCCUUCAUUUAGAGACUAACCAUUUUUACCAGGUUUCACAAGAGAUGCGAGGUGUUGGAGAGGAGACCAUCGGCGACGUGUUUCAGAUGUGAUCGCUCUCACUUAACGACGGAAGCCAGUGAAGUGUGACUGUAAAUAAUCAGCGUUAGCAUACAUCAACACCACAUUUUCCUUCAGCAGGGCUUCUACACGACCUCUGGGAUUUGUUGCCAAACAGGGAUGUUUUAUCUGUUAGACAGUAGGUGGCUGACUAAAGAAGUUAAGCUUUGCAGGAAAAUAGGUUUUUGAUCACCUGUGAUCUCAAAAUAUACGUGAAAAUACUACAGAUCUCAGAUCUGACUUAAUAAAUAUAUAUAUAUAUAUUUUAUUAUUGGCAUUACCAUAUUAAACUAUCAAAAGUAAAACUACUCAUUGUGCAGAACAACCCAUUCCAGAACUGUUUAUAUUAUCUUACUGUAUUUUAAUUACUGAUAAAUGUUUUAAUGCAAAACAAAAAAACUUAAUCAACACUUUAUCAAGUACUACUUCAAUCAAUCAAACUUUUAUUUAGACCACUUUGUGCUCUGAAAGAGGUGGUGUUGAAUAGAAAUUGCAACCACAAAAUUGAACAUGUUUCAGAAAUUGCAUCCAGUUUUUUAUUACAGUACGUUAAAACAGAUCUACAACUCUAGAAAAAGCUAAUUUUUUCUUGAGUUUUUCUAGCUAGUCGCUGGUUUUCCCAUCUACAAACUCAAGGAAAAAAUGUCAAGUCUCAAUUAACUAUUAAAUCUCUUAACUCAAACAUAAUUGCUGUUGGCUAAAUAGAGAAAGCCCCACUGGAGUCAAUUCAAAUUUCAAGUCUCUCUCCUGUUGUGAGGUGAGAGCUUUAGUAUAGCGCGAGAGCUAGAUCAGAUCGUACUUGUGAUACAAGUUGCAAUUCUCCUCUCAGUGGGGAUUUCUCUUUACGGUGUGGAUCAUUAUGCUGAUCCCUGCUUUCACUGUGCUCUAUUUCAGAUGUCAAGUGAGGAUUUGGUUAACAAUGGCGAACAUAGGGAAAUAAUUGUAAGGAUGUAGAAAUUAUUUUUUUAAUCCACGCCGAGCUUGACAUUCAUUCAAUCCUAGUACCCUUUUGAGUGAGGUGCUUUUUGAGUCAAUCAUUGGGCUUCAAAUGUCAAAUUAGACAUUUGCUCUUUUAAAAAAAAUGCUUUUUACACUCUUUACAUUCACUCGAGAACUGAAUGAUUUGGCAUUGGCCAUCAAUUUUCUGCAAGGACACAGAAAGUUAACAGUGCUCACAUUUUCACAAUGUCAAUGCUGACAUUAUGACGUUAUGCAGGUGUGAUUUUUUUGUUCAGUAUGUUUGCAUAUUCAAUAUUUGCACAAAGGCAGAAGACAUUAACUGAAGUUGAUGGAAAUGUAGUUGGGCUCAUAAACCAAAGUGUUGAUGAAGCCGCCCGCCUGUGUUUUUCACCCGAAUGGAAGACAUGAAUACACAAUAUUUCAGGCAAAACUGCUCAUAUGGUUUUAUAACGCUGCAUGAUCUCUACUUUCAUCUGGUUACCAUGUCUCUUCACAUUUGUGGCAUUCGUCAGGUAGAUGUUAACAUUACAUCACUGGAUAAGUUAAAAAUUGCCACAUAGAAAUCCAAUGUGUAAGCAAAGUUGAUUCAUCCCGUAUAUAAGAUUUUCUAACUCGCACAGGCUUCACUCUCCACCGAGGUGCAUCGGUAAUACUCUCUUGCAAUCAUAAGUGUGCAUUCACCCAGUGAAAAAUAUGUACAAGAGUAGUCAGGAUGAAAAUACCAAUGCGAAUAUGUACAAACCCGACAGUUAUUAAUUGUGGGGUUUGUACAGCAGCACACAUUGCAAAUCAACACCCUCUUCUCCUCCAACAAAUGGCAAACUUCCCUCUGGCUGUAUGUCGUUCACAGAUGGAGGUGCUGCUCCAUGAGCCUUGACAGUGCCCCACGCCUGCUUCGAGUGUCAUGUGAUGGCGUGUAGGGGUUAACGUACAUCCCCCAUCAGACACAAUGAACAGCUGCUGUGCGUGUCUCGGGGAUGGUGUGACUCGUAAAGCCCUGUUCAAAAAACACCCGGUGAUGUCUUUGUCAGUGUAUUUCCAAAGCCUAUUGGCGGAGGUGGAGAGACCCUCGCACUUUGGAACGUAUAUGCUUUACUUGAGCAUGGCGCGUAUCGAAGGACACAUAUUUUGGACGCCUUGUCCAAUCGUGGUUCUUUCCCUUUGACAUGUUGCACUCAGAUUCAGGGUGUUUGCUUGCUGGAACAACACAGUAAUGGUGAAAGUAUGUGUAGGGAGGAGGUAGAGCUGGAUUUUGCUAUUUUAACCAUUAUUGUCUAAGCAUAGGAGGAGCUCUCUACCAGAUGUUGAGCUUCCUUUACUAAAGAUUUUGCGUGUAUUUAGGUAGGCAGAAGUCAGAGGAGUAAAGACAAACUUCUCAAUACAGUUUUCCAUUCGACCUUUCCAUCACAGUCCAGAAAAGCAGCCUGUGGGUAGCGUAAGGUUGUGUGUGUCAGCUUCCUGUCUAUUCAUUCUUGUGAUAGAUUCAAGCAAUGGGGCCUUCACUUAUAGUGUAUUCAACAGUAUAGGCAUGAUUGUAACCCAAUAUACAUACAUGCCUGCAGGUGUAAUUGAACAGCUUCACUGUAAGUGGAAGACGACUGAUUGUACCCUGUGGUCAUUGCAAAAGCCUUUCUGGAGUAGGCUCAUUUGCGGACAAAUCAGAAGAAAAUGGGGAAAAGGCAAUUAAAGCCGGUUUUGAUAGAGGCCGUGGCCUUGCAUUAUUCAGAGCUCAGCUGUCAGUCCUCAGGAUGCUGACCAUGUUUUACUGACAGGCUCCGCUUUUAGGCUUUAUGACAUUAAUUUGCAUUGAAGAAUUAUCUUGGGAGGAGAGACAUGGACAGCUGACCAAUUGCUACUUAACACAAAAACCGCCAAACAAACAAUAAAAACCAACAUUUGUUUCAAUCCUUGCAAAGCCUGUGGGGAGAACAGAUACUACAUACUUUCCAACCUACCUACAGUGACUAUGGUUUGAAAGUGAUUGCAAUGUUUCCUUAGAAACAAAAACUUGCUGUGAUGACUUCCAAAAAUACAAACACAAUAUCUGUUUUUAUAAUAGUAUUAAUCAUCGGAACAUUCUAAAUCAAGACGACUUCUUUAUUUCCAUUGAUAGCAGAGAUGCUGCUUGAUUCUUACCAAGAAUGUCUGUAUAUCAAGAUAUAGAACAUAAAUAUAAAAUUAAAAAUAUGGUUAAUCAUUAGAUUGAAUUCCAUCCAAAAACUUGAUCCAACAACACACACACACACACACACACACACACACACACACACACACAAACAAUUGACGCACAAACCUACACACACUAAAUGCACACGCACUGCACCUCCUAACAGCAUUAGUGCUGUGCUGAAUUGUUAUGAAUACAUUUGGCUUUCCUUGUUUGCAAAAUGUAUAGAAGCAGGAGCUGCAAAGAGACAUUUUCUCCACUGACGAGGUUUUGUCAGUGAGCCUCGUCAUUGAAAUUUAUUUCCCCUCCGUCUCUGUGGUUCAGUAUGUCGACUGUUCUGCCAACUCAGCAAGUGUAACAAAUGAUCGUUUCAGAGAGGCACAAUGCAACAGAUUACAUCCUACAAUUAUUAGCACAUAUUUUGGAUUCUGUUACAGCAGCAGUGGGUUGGUUGGGUCCUGACGCACAUUUUAUGCCAAAAUGUUGUUAAUUUCAUGUUGAAAGCCAGAGCAGAUUUUUCUCAUAUUCCUACAAACUUGCAAUGGCCAGUAUCACCUGUGCAUUGUUUGAAAUACCAGUUAGCAAAUGGGAGGUUAACUUUGAUAUUAUGUUGUUCUACACAGACUCAAUACAAAACACACAAGAUUUCAUGGAAGCAAGCCCGGUCAACUAGGCUGAACACAUUUUGCCUACACAUCAUUCAGGGUUAUUUUGUUAACAACAGGGACACUCACACCGCUGCACGAUGCAAUUACUAGAGAGCCCUGCAACAGAACACUCACCGCUUACUUGCAUCUCUCUCGCUGGCAGUACAAACAUGCACACUCUCAAGCCCGACACAAAGACCAGGGCUUGGAUUAUUUUUUAUUACUAUCGUUGUAUAGUAGAGAGACAAUGUCCUUCUUUAAUCAUCAAUCAAGACAUUUCACAUUAUAUAUUGUAUUCAAGAUAAAGCAUUCAGUAGUUAACUGUUGCAUUUGUUUAUCCCUUUUGAAACAGAAAACUACCAUAAAACUUCAGGACAGUGGAUUCGACAUUAAGCCUUUGUUCGUGCACUUUGUUUUCAAAAAAGAUUUUUAUCAAAUGCUCAGUUUAACUAACUUUUAAAAGAUCUAUCUAUGCAUAUUGCCUUUCAUGAGUGGAUAUUGAAUUGCCCGACAUACAGAUCUGUUACAUCACUCUGAGAUGCAGCAAGGGCCCCAAGAAAAUAGAUUAGUCAAAAGUGUUACACAGCUUCACUCACAGAGUUUCAUGCUGCAUGUUGGAGGAAAUAUCCAUCUUCACAAAUGGUUUAAUAGUGCGUUUAAUUUGUUCACCGUCUAUAGAAAAGGUUUUCCAAUGGAAUAUUUCAUUGUGUCAGGGUAAAUCAGAUAAAGUAUGUAUUCUAAUAUGGUAGAAUACAUAUUGUUGUACUUACCUGUACAGUCUUUGACUUUACAAUCAGAGAUCACAUACAAUGUUUUAUAUAUAUAUAUACUACUACAACUAUCAGCAUUGUAUUCUGAUAAAAGUAGUUAUUCACAAAUUCAUCUUCAGUUACACAGAUUCCCAUUCCCAACGGCUGCAUUUUGGAACUCAAAAUUGGUUUUCAAAAUUGACACCACAGUGUGCUGUAGAACAAACAACAUAGAGGGCAUCUAAUAUAUCUUUACAUAUAUUAGUGGUGUGGACCAGGAUUGCCCCUUCCCAUUAGUUCCAUUCAUUACCCACUGUAGGGAGGCCUAAUAUAUCUUCUCCCCUGCUGCCGUCAUAAGCCUCCGAUUGGUUCUGGGUGGUCAGUGGACUGCAGCCUGCUGUUGAGGAAACAUAUUGAGCUUCUCCGCAACUUUACUUGGGCCCCUUUCAUCAAAGGAAGGGUCUUCUGAUUAACUUUCUCUCAGCCUCAUUGCUUUGAGGGCCCAAUGUCUAUUUUUUUUGGGGGGGGGGGGUUAACUGUCCGUUGAUUCUGUACAUUAACAUUACUCUGCUUGAUGAGCCAUUCAGAUAAAAGUCAAAGCAAAUUAUGUAAACAGUCAUGAUGGAUAUAUUUUCCAAAAGUAGCAUAUUAAACAGAAAGUCUUCUUCAAAGUUGGACCAGUUACUAUGACCUCCCAGCAAUGGGCAAGACGCGUGUUUGCGUUUAGCUAUGCAGUCGCCGUUAGCGGCCAAACGUGUUUUUUGUUCUAAUACUGUAAUACUGCACAAAAGGCACAUUACUAACUUUGCUUCUUUGUGCUUUCGCUCCUCACACAUUUCUGUGAAGGGUGGUUACAUCUAGAUGGUGGUUGUCCCUGCAGACUUCCUGCCUGACAUCCACUGCUAUUGUCAUUAUCAGUAGUAGUCACAUUAUGAUUGCUGACAUCAUUCCUUGCUUUGUUAUUGUCGUUAAUCUACUAAAUCCUCUACAGCAGUUAUAAUUCAGUCAUUUUUAAAUCAUUAUUUGACUUACUGCAUUGCUGUAUUGUCAUUCUGUAUACAUGGCAUCUAUUGCACUCUGUUCGUUCUCUCUGAGGUUUCAUCCUCUUUUUUCCCCCCGUUGAAGGGAGUUUUUCCUGUGCCGAUGUGAAGUUUCCGGUACAGAGAAUGUCGCAUGUGUAUUUGAAAAACCCUCUGAGGCCAAUUUGUUAUUUUGGGCUACAUGAAAUAAAUUGAAUUGUCAUACACAGACAGGGGCAGAAUGUUUGAUUUGUGUUGGAGCAGAAGCAGCAUUACCUAACAGAAAUAAUAAUUCAGGUAGUGGAACAUGUUAAAGCAAUAAGGUACUUGAGGCUGUACUUUAUCGUCCAAUAAUGUAACAGUUUGGGAGUGUUGUUAGGCCCGACGCAGAGCGGAGGGCCUAACAACAACCCUCGAGCAGUUACAUUAUUGAAGAUAAAGUACUGCCUCAAGUACCUUGUUUUUUUUAAUACGGUUACCAGCGAAAUUAUAAUUAGCAAGUAAAUAGCUGCCUUUCAUCACAAAAUAGUAUCAGCCACCAAACGUUGUGUAUCGCAUUUCAGUAGUCUAGAGAGAAAAUAGUCCCCGUACGUGCACGUAAACAGCAUCGGGUCCCGCACCAUGGCGUCCACCUUAGUUGUCCGGUUGCAAAAGCUUGCAUUGCCCGAAACCGAUCAUGUGUGUGAUUUACAGUGUUUUUUCGGCCAUCGCCACCGAGCUAAAAGCUAAAAUGUCAACAAGCGGUUGCACAAAAUCUAACCUGUUACUUUGAGCGCAGUGAUAUGGAACGCUGGGUUCAAGGUAAGCAGCAACUGUACAUUAUCGCCCAAUAAUGUACCUCUCGUGACCCACUCUCAACCAAUCAGAACGCUGGAUUUCAUCUACCAGUAUUAUAAUUUUACUUAUUAUAGCACUGCCCACAGCAGCAGGCCCUGCAACAGCAUAAACCUGUGGAACGUCAAAAACUCAACUUGGUCCGGAGAGGCAACCUGCCAAUUUUGGUCAAUUUUGCAGCAAGGAACAGCAAUGAAGCAACAAAUUUAAAAGACUGAAAAUAAUGGGCAACUGAACCCACAUAUUUCCAAUGUGGUUAAAGGUAGCACAUGGACUUGUGCUAUGGUUUAUAACGCAUGCAGCAAUAUUGGAAGCAGAAUGGAAAUAAGUAGGAGUCUCCUCAGAUGCUCUUUUGCCACAUUUACUUUAAAUGAUUAAAUAUGUACCCCUUGAAAUGUAAUUCACAAUGCAGUUUGGUGUUACAGGAUCCUAACUUUAGCACACAAAGCUGAUUGUGAACAACAAGCACACAUUUUCGGUCAUGGGGAGCUUUAGAGCUUGAACCUAGAGAUCUUACAAUCUGACAGUAUAGAUCUUUUUGUAACAACAUAAUAUACAUCCAGAAACACUUAAGCCCCCUGGGUAGCUGGUGAAGCAAGGGGUUACCUUUCUGCAGGGUAUCACCAUCCUCUUGACAGUAAAUGGUGUCACAUUUAAUUGGAACAAGCACAAUGUAAUGGAGCGUGUCAGAUGGCUUUCACUAUGCCUGUGAGGAGCAGUGGCUUCUAGGUUUGUGGCUGUGAGGUCAGAGAGGGACGGGGGUAAUGCAAAAGAAAUACAUAGAAAGAAUGAAAAUGCAAGAAAUUAAAAUACAUUUUAUUUUAUUUUAUUAUUACAAAUAAAAAAUGACUGGAAAUCUAUACAUCGCUCUGCAGAGAAACGGAUUCUAUAUAAAACAGCUGCACAGGCUGUUAUUCUUUCAAACUGAUUUCAUAUGGAUUGGCUGAAAUAUUUUAGUUUUUUGUAUCUACUGUACUGCAUGCAAGAAAGGGCAAUAAUGCUGCCAGUUGAUGAAAUUAAAUGAAAAGUGAAGGGGGACAACCUAAGAAAGAGGAUUAGAGGAUUAAAAAUAUUUAUUUAAAACUGUAUCAAAUAAAUGUAUUGAAAUAUAUUUUAUAGCAAAUAGACAAAACGCCACAACACUUUCAAAGGAUUGAGCGCUGUGCUUAAUAAGGUGCUAAUCCUGAACACUAAAUUCAGGAAUCUUGGUGUGGUCAUUGAUUCAUGUACAAAUAGGAAAAAACAACAGUUACCAGUUAAUCCUCCAUUUGUUGAGUGAGUUUUUAUUGGACAACUGAAAUGUCAGUCAAAUUGGUUUUGAGAAUGUAAUAUAUGGUUUAAAAACAAGAUUCAACACUUUUAGCAAUAUAUACUAGUUCCAUUCUGUGUCUGGUUGAAACCACAAAGACAUAUUACUCCUAAACAUUGGAUUUUUAUUUUUCACACAUCUCACUGAUGCCAAUUUAACCAAAAGCUCGGACCACAAAUUCUAUCAAAGAGUUCAUGCAUUCACAAACACAAUCUCUGACACACUUUACUUCUGUAGCUGCUUGUGGCAGAGACGAUGGAUUAAGGUAAAGCAUUGACCUGGAGUCCUUAGGAUCACGACAGCCCAUUAGUCUGUGCAUAGUACCUGAACCAUCUGGUUACCUGGAUCGUAUGCUACGAGCGCGAGUCUUGCCAGGAAAGCAUUGGGAUUCCUAACAUUGCCUGCAUGAGAUAUGAAAGGGAGCAGGCCCAAAUGAAAAAUGAACUCAUAUGACAUGUACAAUUUAUAACUCGUAGGACUCUUAAUUUGGGCUUAUUGCACAACAUUGUCUCUCUUAGAAGCUGUCUUGUAGCUGAUUUCUCUUUUUAUUAGUUUUGUUUUGAGCCCAUGUUAUCAGCAACAACAUUUUUUAAGAUUACAACCGUUUAUCAUAAAAUGUAUUAGAUUCUUAGUCGCUAUUAAGAAAACAUAAAACAGGAAUGAUUCAGAGAGCUGUCUUUGAACAGCUGUGUAACUGGUAUUUAGAUACAAAAAAUAUAUACAGAUACAAAAAAGCCCAAUCUUCUACACACCACUUUUACUUUAAGUUCUGAUUCUCCUUACAUGCAACAUGUAUAAAUGAUCUUUAGUGGGCUCCAGCUUGUGGGUUCAACUUACGUUAGAAAUAAUAGAUCAAAGCAAGAAACAUGACUGCAUCAACUUGAUCGUCGGUUACUUUUGAUGGUAAUAACUGAUGUGGUGGGUGCCGGCUGUUGCGUCAGAGGGAUAGUGAUGAAAAUAUCUGGCAAACAUAGGAAGUAGUGAAAAAAUUCCAGCUGAUGACUAAAUCAUGAACACAUGAGGACUUGGGCGGCUGGCAAGCACUGAUUAUCACGAUUUGACAAUAAUUUGUCUUAUAAAUGACAGCAACUUAUAACCAUCAUUCUGUCUUAACAGGUUCGGUUGUGCACCGUUAUUGGGCUGUCUACGCUUGUAAAUAUUCGCGGCUCCCCGUGGAGCGGAUAGUUUGACAGGUGACCACUGGGUGUCGCUCUUUAGUUUUGCCUUUGAGUUUCACAGACCCCUUCUGAACAUAGGUGUUACACGUAAUGUUAACAGUAUCUUUAUUAAUGAGAUCCUACUUAACAAUUCUGUGGCAUUUUAUUUUCAUUUUGACACAUACAUGCACAUAGUUGACAUAAUAGUGAGCGAAAAAGGUGUUUGGAAAAAUGUGUCUGUUCUAAAUUAACAGGGUCAGCGAUGAAGUAAUACUGUACACCAGCUGAGAAAGACAACACGUAUCUAAAAAGUCAGCUACAUUAAAUAAGGUUGUUAAAGGAACCGUCUAUACCACGGGUGCCCACAGCUUUCUCGACCUGGAAACUCCUUUUUAAAUCAACCAAGUCAUGGCGAUCUACUGGUCCGUUAACCCGACUACUAAAUAAUAAUAAUAAUAAGCGGCCUGUCGUCUGUCAGAAGCGAGGGAACCGUCACAACCAUCCCAUACAUUCUUGGUCGUUACCUUUCUCAGAUGACUUGGAGUCAGCCAGCGUUGCUUUCGAAUGAGAUUAAAAUGUGUCCAUUAGUAAGCAAGGAUUGCUAAUUAGCACUACCAAGUUUUCCGUUAGCUCCCGCAGUUAACUUGAGUGUUGACCCGGCGUGAUAUUUUUCCCAACGCUGUAUAGGAUUCAAGGAUAUUAAAUGUCAAAAAUGAAAUAUAAAACCACGUUUUAAUUAAGCAAUAAAAGGUACGAGAGGUUGUACUUUAUCGUCCAAUAAUGUAACAGUUCGGGGGUGUUGUUGGGCAACCCUCGAACUGUUGAUUCAACAUUAUUAAAAGAUAAAGUACAGCCUCAAGUAACUUAUUGCUUUUCUAUGGUUACCAGCGAAAUUAUAGACAAGUAAGUAAAUAGCUGCAUUUCAGCACAAAAUAGUUGUAGCCACCAAACGUGUAUCGCAUUUCAGUAGUCUAGAGAAAAACAGUCCCCGUACGUGCAUGUAAACAGCAUUGGGUCUUCUUGCAAGAUCUCGCACCAUCUCAUUCAUUCACAUCGCUCAUGACGUCCACUUUAAUUGUCCAGUUGCGAAAAGCUUGCAUUUCUCGAAACCGAUCAUUUGUGGGAUUUACAGCGAUCGCCACCGAGCGAAAAGCUGAAAUGUCAACUGACGGUCGGGCAAAAUCUAACCUGUUACUUUGAGUGCACAGUACUAUGGAACGCUCGAGUCAACGUGAACAGCAACUGUACAUUAUUGCUCAAUAAUAUACACCCAUUGAAUCACUCUCAACCAAUCACAACGCUGUUGCACACUAACAGACACUGGUUGUAGCGAUCGCUGUCCACGUUUUUUGUAUUACCUAAAAGUAGGGAUGGCUACCAAAACUUUACUACAUACAUAGUUAUGAUAAGCUUCAGCCUUAUCGGUGCUUUUUAUGAGUAUAAUUUUAUAUUAUGCUGAGACAGGCAUUUCUACUGUUUUCUCAGUUGGGCUGAGCUCCUCCAACUACACUCACACACACAAAAUGUGUCAGGGAGUAGAGAGACGGCGGUGGUGACUAAAUCAGGUAAAGUGAACACCAGUUAAUGGCAACUGCUAAAUUUCAUAUUUUUUACACAAGAGUUUAAAAAGCAUGGAUUGGAAACAAAAGGAAUGCCUAAUAUAGAGCUCUUAUGCGCCGCCGGUUUUCACAGGCACAGCAUUAUCGGACAAAAGCCUUUUUUGACAAUGCUGAAACAGAAGCUGUUUAUCAAUACAAAAACAUUGUUGUCUCUGGGAGACCGUAGUUCUCUUAACCAUAAACCCCAGCUGUAUGGCAAGCAAUGCUUUAAUCUAGAGAAAGUCUUUAAAUGCACUCUCAUCUUACAUGACUCUUUUACUUCAUUUGAGCAACUUGGAUUUAUGAUGAAUUUAAAGAUUGAGAGAUUAUUUUGAUAAUCUAUGGACCACCCAGGCCUAAUAGGGUUUUUAAUUCCUUUCCUUUAAUACUCUGUGAUUUUAACAUACGUGCUUGCUGCCUUUUACAGACCGUUUCUCAAGGAUUUUUUGGAUACCUUGGAAUCUUUCAACCUCAUUCAGGCUAUGGAGGAGCGUACAAAGGGUCACAGCACUCCACUCAGUUAAUUACAGUGGUUGACAGUGGUCUUAUUCAUCCACCUGCCUUUAAUCCUCAUUUUAAUUUAGACAAGCUGGCCUCCCUUUUUAAAUCGAACCUGUCAGACUGUCUUGGACUCUGUUGCCCCCUAAAAUAGAAAAGGACAAAUAGAACACCCCAGCCCUGAUUAAAUGAGACUGAAAGAAACAAAUGAAAAGAAAAAAACAGGUUAUAUGUAUCUUAUACAAGUUGUAAGAAGCAAUGAAUACUUAAAACAGCUGUUAAAGAAGCUUCCUUCCUUCUUCUUCAACUUACUUUUUAGCAAAUCACUUGAAUCAGAGAAUUCUAUUUAAGGUAAUUGACUCAGUGCUCUAACCUCCCACAGUCCUUCUACUGAUGCCUCACAAGAGAUGUGUGAGCUAGAUCCACUUUCUUAAAAGAUGUUAUUAACAGUUGUUCCAAGUAUUUUAUUGAUUCAAUACAAAGUAUCAUAAACUUCAGCUGUAUCAAAAGUUGGUUUUAACCCAACUUUGGUCUAUUAUGUGUUUUAAUAACACCUUCAAGAAGUUUAAUUCCGUCCAUAGAGUUUUAGACACAACAGAAAACGCCCCUUCUGAAGGUGUUCAAGGAUCUCCUUUUAGCAAAAGGGGGGAGAGCUGAAUUGGAAUUCUUCUAGACUUAAGUGCAGCCUUUAGCAAAAUGGACCAUGGCAUUUUGUCCGUCAAAGCAUAUAGUGAAUUUUAAAAGGUUAUGUUAUUAUUCUUUUUCUUUGUUUGUUCUCAUGAGCCUCUCUGCUGGCUGGGACAAAGCAGACAGGAGGACAGAGAUCAGGUGGACUGCCUGACACUAAUCAUUUAUAAACACGACUCUAGUUGUUAGAAACACUUGGAAGGGGAAAGCGUUGCGUAGGGUCAUAUCGUUUCAAAUCUGCAACCUCAAAACUAGAUGCCAAUAAAUCUCACACACUGAAUGACGCCAUUGAAGAUGUAGCUUUGGCACGGCACGUAGAGUAGCUACAAUUGCAGCAUUUCUCAAAGCAGAGGGUCGUUAAAGUCAUAUCCCUACUUGUAUGCAGUGAUUUACUUUUGUCUCUUGUCAUCCUUUUUCUCCAAUGCUUCCCAGUUCCCUUGCAGGAACAGACGUUUAGCCUCUGUGCCUUCUGUUUGCAGAGCCUAUGACAGCUCUCUACGCAACACUGCCGUGGGAGUGACUCCUGCUUGGACCGUGGGUGACUCCUGCUUGGACCGUGGCUCCCCGGAGAACUUCCACUGCAGGGCACACUGAGAGAUAAGAGGAGGAUGCCGUAUAUACAGUAGAUGUACUGUAGAUCCCGUGGCUCCUGCAGGAGGAUCGUGAAGACGGACCUAUAAAUGGUUCUUCUUGCAAACAGCUUGUUGCUUGCAGAGGUGUGGGUGUUGAAGUGUGAGUUAGGACUAAGACGAGGGAGCACGAAAAAAAAUAGAGGGGAGUGGGAGUGUUGCGUCAUACUGCGAUGAUCUUUGAUGAGUGUCUUAGACAUGGAAUUCAGCUCAAAAACAACGGAGGCAUGAAAAUCAAAACGAUAUCCAAUUUAACCUUUGCUGCUGGUGUGUGAUGUGAAGAACUGUGUGUUGCUUUGGUUUACUGAAGGAAACUACUUCCAAUAUAUUUGCCAGGGAACUGGAACAUAGUUGUUUCCUUUCUUUAGAAAAUAGAUAAAUCUAGGUUCAUCGGGGUUGAUGGCGUUGACGAUCUUGAGUAGAAGCACUUGAGGCAGGUCAUUCAAGCCCAACACUUAAAAAAGUGCACUCUUAAAAAACCCUGAGAAAAUAAAUAACGUGGGUGUGCGUUGUUAAAAAUAAAUAACUUCUUUUGUCAUUUUUGACAUAUGAAAAUGGCUCAAACGUUGUUUUUAACCUUCAGAACAAUGUCAUGAAAUCAAAGAAUGUUAAGGCCAUCUAAUCCUCCUAGCAUUACAAUCACAGCAGCAAAGCACAAUCCUUUUGGCUCUUUUGUUACAUGCAAAAUGAAAUCUUGUCAAACAGUGUUGAUGACCAAUCAUGUGGCGAUAUCAAUGUUUUCCGACGCUGCGACCAGUGUGUGUCAAUAAAGCAUUCUUUUUACUUAUAACAUGAUACUGGGUGUCUUCUCCCCACCACAAGGAGAUUAAAGCGAGGACGAGAGCGGAUGGGCACCUUCAAGAUGGAGGGUUUACACUGGCUGAAUUUUAGUUGCUGCACCCACAACGUUCUGUCUCCAAAGUUCUGUCGGUCCUCCUCUGGCGUAGUACCCUCCAAGUGGCAGUGAAUUCGAGCCUGCAGCGUGUGCGAUUUGUUUCAUUGGUGGUCGUUUAGACAGUGAAUUCAUUAGCGUUCCAUUCCAUGUAGCUCUUUUUCAAGCCACUGUAGUUGUCAGAUUUGUUGUUGUUCCCUUAAGGCUUCUGACAUACUGCAAGUGGGAGUUGUUACAUAUGUAAUGGUAAAAUAUAAUGAUGCCGCAAUGUUUUAAAAGGUUAACUGUCUGAAGCUAAGCAUGAGUUUAAUAGUGAGAAAAUUCUAUUUGAAAAACUAUCUGAGGAGAAGACGCAGACACCUCUUUUUCAUAGAGAUGCAUGUAAUACUCUGAACUAUGGAGAAGAAGCUUGCACUGCUUUCUCUGUGCAGCUGCUGCAAACUUUGAUCCCCUGACAAGGAAAUAAAAUGGAAAAAGACAACUUUGACUUGAGACUUUUAUUCUUCAUUCCCGAGUGCUUUAAGAAAAUCUUACACCACACAUAUUUUCCAUACCCACUUUUAGUUUUUCCAACUGAGUGGUUCAAGUUAGGCUCAGACUUGGGGUUCAAGUGACACUUUAAUGUCACUUAAAAUGACUUAUUUUAAAUGUUUUUCUUAUGUUGCAAAGUUGGACUACACCUGCAUUUCGUUGCAUAACCAUUUGUUUUGGUCAUGUUGUUUGGGUUGUCCCAAUCUUAUUUUGUAUUUUCCUGCCUUUUUCGCCGCUUAUGCUUUUUGUUGUUUCUUCUGUAUUCCUGGGAUUACUCCAGAUUGACCCCUGGCAUCUACUUUAUCAAACGUUAUUUCUUUUGAACCCUGACUCUACGAAUAGGUCCCGCUUCUCUUCUAACCGUGGCAGUUACUGUGAAUUCACUUAUAAAUCUGAGCAAUAAAAAGCAAAAUGCAUUGAAACAGGGGACUACAGGCAGACAGGUGAUUCUGCCAUGACAAUACUUUUUUAUUCAAGGACCAGUCUGCUUAGAGACCUCCACCAUCAUCCUUGGCCCCCCAAAUCUUACGACCACAGGUAUGUCGAUUACAGAAAUGUUGCCCCGAUACAUUCCAAACUACCCUGAAUUUCAUCCUGCAGCAUCUGGACUCCUCAGGGACUCAUGCCAAAAUCCUGUAUGUCAACUUUAGCUCUGCCUUCAAUAAAAUCAUCAUCCAAGGUCUGCUGCUAACAAGCUCUAACAGCUACAAUAUGCCUGAAGGUGCAUCGCGGAUUUCCUGUCUGACAGAAAGCAGCCUGUGAAGCAACACCCUUCAUCCCCUUUAGACAGCCGUAACUUACAUUUACAUCGUCACAUCUGAUCUGUAUGUGAUACACACAUCUUUGGUGUUUUAUGUCUGUUCAUUGAAUAUUCUUGACAUAACAGAACCAAACCACUAAAAUAAAAGAGAACAUGAAUUGCCAAGCAGGUUUUUCUUAUGAGAGCUUGUUCUCUAGUGUUUUAGGAUUUAAUUGAAUUUUUGAUUAUGUGGUUAGCACACAUGCAUAGGGACCCAUUGCAACUGCUGAGCCACUUCCGCUGACGAUGUUGGGAAUUGAGAGCCUUCUCAAUCAAUUGUGCUGCAGGUGGGCAAAGAGCUUUCAUCCUUGUAGAAAAAGUAGGAUUUGAAUUGGAGACUCUCUGGUCAGAAAUGCGUCUCCAUGGCUACCACAGUGGAAACAAACUACACAGCUAAAUGUGUUUGUCUCUGUGUGCGUAUGCAGUACGUGUUUGAAAAUGUGGACAUUUCCUUCUGUUUAUAUCAGUACAUGCUCGAAGUGAUUCAAGUGGGAGCUUCGAGUGAGCGCACAUUGCAAACUGCUCUACUGAUCUGAGAUCAUUCGUCCUUUUUUUUUCACCCUCUUCUUUUCUUUUCCCGCCAUUGUUCCCAUUUUGCAUGUUUUAAAAAAAAGAUCUCUCUCUGUCUCUUUCUUCUUUCACUUACUUUUCCUUGAAUCGUGUUAGUCUGUCCUACAUACCUGCAUACCGGUUAGAUCAAUUAUGUAGUGAUUGAACAGUUUAACACAUUUUUCCCUCCAACAACUCAGGUGCUGUAAUUCACACAUGUGUAUUAUAUGCGUACAAAUAUCUGUGAGACAUGGUUGAACAAGCAUCCAUCCCAUAAUAUCAUCAUCCACAAUUAGUCCUAACCAUGAAGAAAACAUAAACAUGGACUCACAAGUGCCUAAAUAGCCAACUAAAGACACUCAACAUGUAAGUUAUGGGAAGGAGUAUUCAUCCACUUUUAGUACCUGCAAAUGGUCUCCCCUACCACCACCUUCUGCACACAACUAAAACUAACUAAAAUACUGGAUAGGUAUUUUACUGAACACACAAAGUGAAAUUGUAUUUCUUUUAAAACAAAAAUGUCUAGGAAGUGUGAUAAUGUAUUCACUCCAUACCAAAACAGUUGAAUUAUCACAACAUGUUACUCGGUGUUGCUUUAUUAUCCAACAUUUCUGUUUUUGCCAUUUUACUCUGAGAGUGUACAUCCCUCUCUCGUCUUUUUCCAUCUUUCAGUCACUUCUUUUGCUUAUUGCCACUGUCGCUGGCUCUCAUUCUUGCUCUCCCCCCACCAGCCCCUCUUUUUCAGUCUAGAUUGCCUCUCUAUUUCUCCGCUCCUUUCUUGCCGUCUUCAACUCUUUUCUGGUGUUCCUCUCUCUACCUUCUUCUCACAAAUGGUCCUCAUUACCGGCAGCGGCUUCUUUUCGCUCCCUGGUUGCUGCCAACGGACCAUUAGCAUGUUGUGUGCAGGGCUAUAAAUCGGAUCAGGAAAGCACCCAAGUACUCUGACUUCCUCUCGAUGUCGCCCAAUCAGGACAAUUUGCUAUGGUUUGGGGAACAGUAAGAAUUAAGGAACAGAAUUCAUGAUGUUCGGUAUAGUUCUGCUAUAGCCUCAGUGAUUCUGUAAUUCACAGCCACGGUUAAGGAAAUGUUCAUACUGUACAAAUUGUUAAAAGGUCUGGACAGGUCCAAUUUAAUCUCUAAUUAAAUGAUAAAUUAAAGUAUCAAUACUUAAUUUCCAGGUACAAACUAAAUAUGUACAGGCUGCAACAAGGAACAACUUGUGAAGCUUACAAACCAUAUUUCAUUCAAAUGCAAUUGAGGUGUUGUCAUUUCUCUUUAAAGUAAAAAAGUGCAGCAACUAUAUCAAUAAUUGUCUUAUUGGGGUAAGGAAAUUAAAGGUCAGACUUUUUCUCCAUCAGUGCAAUGCUACACAGACAAACCAGUGCUCGUGCUGGGCAAAAUUGAUCAUCCAAAUAAUACGUAUAGAUUCUGUGUCUGCACGUAAUAUGUAUUGCAUAAAUUAAAUCAAACUCUUACUUUGUCUGAAAACAGCCUUUCCUUGCUCUGCAUACCCAUGAACCGCCAUGGAAACUAGACACUGCCAUUACUCAGUCUACACCGUUUGAAUGAAUGUGACAAAUUGUAACUCACUUUUGGCAUGUUUUUUCUUUUGGGGCUUGUAAAAUAACAAUAAAAUCUUUCUGCAGUGCUCAGAAGGUUCAACACUACUGGCAAACCUGUGUACUGCUUGACCUGCAAGCUGGCUCACAUAAAGAGUCAUUAGAUGGUUUGCAUGAUUGUGUUGUGUUUCCUCAAACAAUACAUUUAAAUUUAAAAAAAAGAAAAUUCCUUUUCUCGUUAACUGCCAUUUGGGACUGCAAGUGUAAGACGUAAUGCAGCGAUAAAGAUCCCCUGCGGGGAAACUGCUGUUGCAACAUCAAGUAGUAACAAGAAAGGAAAAGAGCUAAGAAAAGAAGAGCAUCCGGACACUUUUUGAAAUACUGUUUUUUCAGUGAGGUUUUAGUAAAGUUCCAUGGUGGAAAGUUUUCCUCCAUAACACAGGUGAGUAAUUAAUGAUAUAAUUGUCUCUUUUUUGGGCAAAUGAAAAUUAUAUGAUACAUGAUAUAGUAUACUGUAUGCAAAUAAAAAACAGGAAUGGACAAAAUUGUGUGUGUAAGUUUACAAUAAUUAAAGACAAUAAGUUUAAUUUCUUCCUUGUCACAAUCUUGAUUUAAAAAGUAUGAGAAAUAUUAUAUAAUAUUGCAUAAGAGGGAGGGUCUGCAGAAUAGAUAGCUGCAUAGAACCUAUCUGCAAUAAAAGCAAAGCUUUUUCAAGGAUUAAAACAAAGAUGUACGUAUUUUGCUUCUCUAGUUAUGCUACCGCUGAGGACUUAACUGACAUCUAAGCUCUCGCUAAGACUGCAUUUAGAAUGUUGCUGAGAAAUUGUCAGAGCAGUGACGCAAUUUCCAUUCAGACUCAGUAACCCAGCAAUGAAAUAGCAUACCUCAAUUAUUACUGGAGUGUUACAGAUUGUGAGAAAUGACUAAUUAACGGUGUGUGUGGUGUGUUUAUUUAAAUGUGUACAUAUGUAUUCAUGGCAUCUGCAUGUGGUAGAAAUCCCAUAUGUUCUGUAUACUGUGAAUAUAAUUAGAUGUUUUUGGGGGGCAAAUGUGAAUGAUUUUGGUGUCUAAUGCGUUUGGUGUCUUUGUUUGUCGUCUUGAAUGUGAAAAAUGACGGUGAGAAUUGUAUAUGAAGCGGUAGUCAAGCAUCAGCAGUCGAAUCACUAAAAACAACACAUUUCUGCUGAAAAAUAAAGAUUGUAAAGCAAACACAUGUGAGAAUAAAAAUAUUAUAACAAUUAUUUUCCAAUGUAGAUUAACAGCAAUGUACUACUCGGUUGCCUCGUACUGUUUUUCAUGGCAUUAUAUCAGAUGAUGACAAGUUGUAACUCUGACUUGUAUCUCAAUAAAAUGCCAUCUCACCAAAAUUGAUUAAUUUUCUGUUUUUCAACAGAAUGUCAGGGAAUGACAUAACCUCUGAAGAACAAAGCAGUGGGAAAAUGUUUGGGUUUUAUUUUAAGGGCACAACACUGUGCUCAGCGUGGUUCUACUAAUUCAUACUUUUAAAUGAGAUUACGUGUACAAUUUACAUCAAAUAUACAAGUUUAGCAAUGUCCUACACUACUAGCCACCGCAGUUUCAUAACGUGUGCACACACUAUUUCUUAUUUCCUUCAACGCACACACACACACACACACACACACACACACACACACACACACACACACACACACACACACACACACACACACACACACAUUCUGACAUGUAUCAUUUCAGUUUCACAGCACCAAGAAGUACAUUCAAAAAAACAAGAGAUUUUAGGUGCACCCUGUGCCUUGUAAAAGGUUAUUUGCGUCUCAGUUGCUCAUUGUUGAAAAAAAUCCAAAGCUUUUGUGUAAAGCCAUCAUACUGUUUACAAGUAGGUGUAUGUACAAAGAACGGAGAGGGGAGAACGGAAAUGUCAGAGAAAAUGUCAAAUGCCUGCUGGCUCUGUCCGCUGUAUUUCUCUAGCUGAAAUGGUCUCUCCAGGGAAGAAGGUCCUGGGCAAGUUGACUGAGACGAUCCAAGGUCAGCUAUUGUUGGGGACUUUGAACAAAACCAGCUCUGAUGGGUUAUGAAUGGAUGAGUUAUGGGAGGUAUUCAUCAGGUAUUAGUUGAUGAAUGGACGGAGAAAUACCGUACGUGGUUCAAAUCGAGGGAUUGAUUGACUGAAUGACUGGUCGCAUGAUCAAUAGAUAAAUGUUGGGUGGAUGAAAGAAGGGUGGAUAAAAC
Gasterosteus aculeatus aculeatus (three-spined stickleback) is the source of this 26890-nucleotide long non-coding RNA. The record is from Ensembl. Lineage: Eukaryota; Metazoa; Chordata; Actinopteri; Perciformes; Gasterosteidae.